This 440-nucleotide ribosomal RNA is filed under the name uncultured bacterium. RNAcentral's name for it is "partial 16S ribosomal RNA". It matches the Rfam family "Bacterial small subunit ribosomal RNA", at positions 338 to 795 of the family's 1533-position model. The record is from RNAcentral.
CCUACGGGAGGCAGCAGUGGGGGAUAUUGCACAAUGGGGGGAACCCUGAUGCAGCGACGCCGCGUGGGUGAAGAAGCGCCUCGGCGCGUAAAGCCCUGUCAGCAGGGAAGAAAAUGACGGUACCUGAGGAAUAAGCGCCGGGUAACUACGUGCCAGCAGCCGCGGUAAUACGUAGGGGGGAAGCGUUAUCCGGAUUUAUUGGGGGUAAAGGGGGCGCAGACGGGGAUGCAAGCUAGGAGUGAAAGCCCGGGGGCCAACCCCGGGACUGCUGUUGGAACGGCGUUGCUGGAGUGCAGGAGGGGCAGGCGGAAUGCCUGGUGUAGCGGUGAAAUGCGUAGAUAUCAGGAGGAACACCGGUGGCGAAGGCGGCCUGCUGGACUGCAACUGACGUUGAGGCCCGAAAGCGUGGGGAGCAAACAGGAUUAGAUACCCCGGUAGUC